Molecule: non-coding RNA, 1258 nt
Organism: Peromyscus maniculatus bairdii (prairie deer mouse)
Lineage: Eukaryota; Metazoa; Chordata; Mammalia; Rodentia; Cricetidae
Source: RefSeq, a predicted model, not a curated record
CUCUCUCACACACACACACACACACACACACACACACACACACACACACACAAACAAGUACACACCAUGUUUUGAUUUAUCUGUCCUGUUAACUAAUCUUAUACUCCAGUCUGGUACUGGUCAUCUAUAUCUUUUCUUCCUACAACUGGGUGAGUGAGUCUGGCACUCACAGUCUACUCUAAGAAACAAAUUAAAAUACAGCUUCUGAGUUUACUCUUUCCAAGUUGUUAAUAUUUCAUGAUUCUGAUGGGAAAAUAUCUAAAUUUGGGUAAUUAAACCUAUUUUGAAGACUGAAACAGAGACUCUGGGGUCAAGAUUGGAAAGAGCUUUAAAUCCAGGCUUCUCAGAAAAAACUCUCUCCUCAUUGUCUACCUUUCUUUUCUAUUUCUGUCUGGUUUCAACCAGAUUUCCUAAUGCUCUCAAAUUGUAGAUAAAUAGAUCUGUUCAUAUUGCUGAAGUCAGGGAUAAAACUCAGGCUGAGGACAAAUUUAUGGAAUAUGCCCAGGAGACAAUGACAAUAUUGGCAAAGGACAUACAUCCUGUUUAUCUGCCUAAGAAAUGCUGACGAAUUAUGAGCCAAAGUCCUUCACAUUUCAGACAUUACUGAGAGUAGAGCUAUGGGCCCUAUUGGUGAAGCAUUUUCAACCUUUUAAAAUGUAUCAAAAAGAGUGAGACUGACUUCAUCAUUGGGAUCUGGGUGUUGCAUAAUGCCAAUCAUCAUUUCCCCCAUAUCUACUAUUACGUUCAGAUCCAGGGGGAGCAGAGCCAGAUGCCCAGGUGAAUUUGAUGUUUUGAUAUAUUUUGUCUCAAAAGCCACCAUCCUAUUCCAAGCCGACUUUGUUAAUGAUUUGGGAACAGGAACAAAUAUCACUGAAGAAAUGUGAGAAGAUUACAUGAACCUGACGCAUUACCAUGAAAUUCCUAUUGAAAAUAUUAAAAAUGUCUGUGAAGAAGGUCAGUCAAUUUCUGUAAACUGGCCUGAAAUUAGAGCAAAUCACAAAGAUUCUUGUUUUCAUUUCAGCAAUGUAAAAUCUUUACAGAAAAUAUAAAGUAAAUCCAAUUAUAUUUUUAAUGUCCCCUUUUUUGUUAUACCUCACAGAUGCUUGCCCUAAAUGAAAGCAUUGAUCCCAGAAGCAGAAACAGGACAUUAUGUGCUGUCCUUGAUCAUUGGAAUAAAUUUUUGAGGUUGAUUCAAUCAAGCAAACACAAAGUGUUCAUAGUUGUUACUCUGGAAAUUCUGCACACCCUCCUGAAAUCA